GCGUAAGAAUAGAUGAAAUCAAUGGCAGAUGAUGCGGGCCCAAAAAAAGAACAUAAAUUGCUGGUGGAAUUGUCGCAAAGUACGAACGGAAGAUUUGCUGUUUUAUCAGGAGUUUCGAGGUUGACAAGGCUUUUUGUUACUCUAUUUCUACUUCCAUAUCCUUUCCUUCCCACCAUUCUCCAACUUUAGCUCUCUCUUUUUCUUUUUCAUUUUUUUUUUCCUUCAGAGAAGAAUAUUUCACUUCAAGUUAGGCCGAAGCUCUGUUGUAUGAGCAUCUUAGCUGCAGAAUUUUGCUUUUCUUCUAGUUUCCUACUGUUUCGCUGAAACCAAACAGUGCAAAGGUUGUUCUACUUUCAAUUCAUUGAACAGUGGAUUUUUGUAAAGAUUUUAUUAGUGAGGCGCGAUGGGGAAUGCUUCUUCAAUGCUAACUCAAUAUGAUAUUGAAGAAGUUCAAGAGCACUGCCAUAAAUUAUUCUCUCUGCAGGAAAUUGUUUCAUUGUACCAAAGGUUUUGCCAGUUAGAUCGAAAUGCAAAGGGAUUUAUAUCUGCUGAUGAGUUCUUAUCAGUUCCAGAGUUUGCAAUGAAUCCACUCUCUCAGAGGCUGCUUAAGAUGGUGGAUGGUUUGAACUUUAAGGACUUUGUAGCCUUCUUGUCAGCGUUUAGUGCUAAAGCAAGUGUACAGCAGAAAAUUCAACUUAUCUUCAAAGUGUAUGAUUCUGACGGUAAUGGAAAGGUUUCUUUCAAUGACAUACUAGAAGUGUUGCGUGAUUUGUCUGGUUCAUUUAUUUCCGAUAACCAAAGAGAGCAAGUCUUGACCCAACUUUUGAAAGAAGCAGGUUACUUGAGGGACUCUUACCUAAUGUUGGAUGACUUCAUCAAGGACCAAUUCUCAGCAUUAUGGGUACGAGAAUAUUUUGAUCUUUUCUCCUGGUUGCAAAGGUUUUGACAGUGUCUGCUGGGUUGAGUGACUUAAACCUUGAAGCUGGUUGCAAAAGACACUUGAGAUAUAAGAGGGGUUUUCGGGAGCUCUGGCCUAAAAAUGGAGGUUGAAGUUCCAGUUGAUUAAGCUAAUUUGUGCAGUCUUUCCCCUGAAUAAUUGGAGACGAACUAACUGUAUGCAUCAUACGAGAGAAACACAUAUUAGAAGCAUACAUAAUACACCUAUACUAUUCCCCUUUCAUGUUUCCUUACCUCAGAUCCAAUAAAUAAUUAAGCAACUUAAGUAUCAAAAUAAGCUUCAGGUCUCUGUAAAUGUUUCUAUUUAUCUUCAAAAUUUUCAAGUCUGAGAAAUGUAAUUUAGGAGUUCAAGAUUCUUGUUUCCUUGUCCUGCUUCUCCUUCUUCUUCUCUUAUUUGAGUGAUAGCAUUUUCUUGGACCAUAUUGGAAACUGUAUAGUUAAACAGUAUGAUGACAUUCAUGGUCUUAGACUGGACCUGAUGUGAUAAAUCAAUAGGUUUUUUUAUCUCUUUCCUAAAGAAACAUAUGGCAAGUCAUGGUAACAGAUGCCAUCUGAUGGAUUAAAAAUGCUCAGCAAGGGAACUGUGAGCGAGGGUAAUUUACGCAAGGGUUUUUUUUUUUUUUUUUUUGAACAAAAGAGGUCAUAAGAAUAAGAGAAGGAAUUAUAGUUGUAAAUGUUAAGAUUUUAACUUUAAAUCUGCAAAAUGUCAUUUUUUAAGUGCCAGGGGAGUGUAACACUCCCCUUGAAUGUGCAUGGCAAUUUUUCGUUUAACCUGUCUCAUGUUCUUUCUAGAAACUCAAAAGCAAUCUCUGUUCCACUGCAACUACUGCACACUGCUUGCUGCAAUGGCAAACUCUCUUAGAAGAGACAUGCAAAA
RNA transcript from Durio zibethinus, 1834 nucleotides. RefSeq lists it as uncharacterized. The record is from RefSeq and is a predicted model, not a curated record. Lineage: Eukaryota; Viridiplantae; Streptophyta; Magnoliopsida; Malvales; Malvaceae.